Molecule: long non-coding RNA, 283 nt
Filed under: Hordeum vulgare
Lineage: Eukaryota; Viridiplantae; Streptophyta; Magnoliopsida; Poales; Poaceae
Description: long non-coding RNA (HVUL_LNC020022)
Source: RNAcentral
GAGGGAGAUGGAGAGGGAGAGGGAGAGGGAGAGAGAGAGGGAGAGGGAGGGGGAGAGGGAGAGGGAGGGAGGGAAAGGGAGAGAAGGAGAGUUAGGGAGGGAGAGAAAGAGGGAGAAAUGGAGAAGGAGAGAGAGGGAGGGAGGGAGAGAGAGAGAGAGGGAGGGAGGAAGAGAGGGAGGGAGGGAGAGAGCGAGAGAGAGAGGGAGAGAGAGGGGGAGAGGGAGGGCGAGGGAGGGAGAGAGAGGGAGAAAGAGGGAGAGGGAGAGGGAGAGGGAGAGAGAG